GGCUUAAACUCAAAGGACUUGACGGGGACCCGCACAAGCGGUGGAUGAUGUGGUUUAAUUCGAUGCAACGCGAAAAACCUUACCUACCCUUGACAUGCCAGGAACUUGCCAGAGAUGGCUCGGUGCUCGAAAGAGAACCUGGACACAGGUGCUGCAUGGCUGUCGUCAGCUCGUGUCGUGAGAUGUUGGGUUAAGUCCCGCAACGAGCGCAACCCUUGUCAUUAGUUGCUACGCAAGAGCACUCUAAUGAGACCGCCGGUGACAAACCGGAGGAAGGUGGGGAUGACGUCAAGUCCUCAUGGCCCUUAUGGGUAGGGCUACACACGUCAUACAAUGGGCGGUACAGAGGGUCGCCAACCCGCGAGGGGGAGCCAAUCCCUUAAAACCGCUCGUAGUCCGGAUUGUAGUCUGCAACUCGACUGCAUGAAGUCGGAAUCGCUAGUAAUCGCGGAUCAGCUUGCCGCGGUGAAUACGUUCCCGGGUCUUGUACACACCGCCCGUCACACCAUGGAAGUGGGGUUUACCAGAAGUAGUUAGCUUAACCGCAAGGGGGGCGAUUACCACGGUAGGCUUCAUGACUGGGGUGAAGUCGUAACAAGGUAGCCGUAUCGGAAGGUGCGGCUGGAUCACCUCCU
RNAcentral lists this ribosomal RNA (635 nucleotides) under uncultured bacterium. Its description in RNAcentral is "bacterial SSU rRNA". It matches the Rfam family "Bacterial small subunit ribosomal RNA", at positions 892 to 1531 of the family's 1533-position model. The record is from RNAcentral.